Molecule: ribosomal RNA, 775 nt
Filed under: bacterium
Lineage: Bacteria
Description: bacterial SSU rRNA
Rfam family: Bacterial small subunit ribosomal RNA
Source: RNAcentral
GAACGAUGAUCUCCAGCUUGCUGGGGUGAUUAGUGGCGAACGGGUGAGUAACACGUGAGUAACCUGCCCUUAACUCUGGGAUAAGCCUGGGAAACUGGGUCUAAUACCGGAUAUGACUGGCUGCCGCAUGGUGGUUGGUGGAAAGCUUUUUUGUGGUUUUGGAUGGACUCGCGGCCUAUCAGCUUGUUGGUGAGGUAAUGGCUUACCAAGGCGACGACGGGUAGCCGGCCUGAGAGGGUGACCGGCCACACUGGGACUGAGACACGGCCCAGACUCCUACGGGAGGCAGCAGUGGGGAAUAUUGCACAAUGGGCGCAAGCCUGAUGCAGCGACGCCGCGUGAGGGAUGACGGCCUUCGGGUUGUAAACCUCUUUCAGUAGGGAAGAAGCGAAAGUGACGGUACCUGCAGAAGAAGCGCCGGCUAACUACGUGCCAGCAGCCGCGGUAAUACGUAGGGCGCAAGCGUUAUCCGGAAUUAUUGGGCGUAAAGAGCUCGUAGGCGGUUUGUCGCGUCUGCCGUGAAAGUCCGGGGCUCAACUCCGGAUCUGCGGUGGGUACGGGCAGACUAGAGUGAUGUAGGGGAGACUGGAAUUCCUGGUGUAGCGGUGAAAUGCGCAGAUAUCAGGAGGAACACCGAUGGCGAAGGCAGGUCUCUGGGCAUUAACUGACGCUGAGGAGCGAAAGCAUGGGGAGCGAACAGGAUUAGAUACCCUGGUAGUCCAUGCCGUAAACGUUGGGCACUAGGUGUGGGGGACAUUCCACGUUUUCCGCGCCG